RNAcentral lists this transfer RNA (77 nucleotides) under Aphanothece sp. RNAcentral's name for it is "tRNA-Pro". It matches the Rfam family "tRNA". Rfam says of the family: Transfer RNA (tRNA) molecules are approximately 80 nucleotides in length. Their secondary structure includes four short double-helical elements and three loops (D, anti-codon, and T loops). The record is from RNAcentral. Lineage: Bacteria; Bacillati; Cyanobacteriota; Cyanophyceae; Chroococcales; Aphanothecaceae. RNAcentral also lists the same sequence under 6 other names.
CGGGGUGUAGCUUAGCUUGGUAGAGCGCCUGGUUUGGGACCAGGAGGUCGCAGGUUCGAAUCCUGUCACCCCGACCA